UGUCUCCUACGGGAGGCAGCAGUGAGGAAUAUUGGUCAAUGGGCGGGAGCCUGAACCAGCCAAGCCGCGUGAGGGAAGAAGGUACAGCGUAUCGUAAACCUCUUUUGUCAGGGAACAAAGGCGGGGACUAGUCCCCGGAUGAGGGUACCUGAAGAAGAAGCCCCGGCUAACUACGUGCCAGCAGCCGCGGUAAUACGUAGGGGGCAAGCGUUAUCCGGAUUUACUGGGUGUA
RNAcentral lists this ribosomal RNA (232 nucleotides) under uncultured bacterium. Its description in RNAcentral is "partial 16S ribosomal RNA". It matches the Rfam family "Bacterial small subunit ribosomal RNA", at positions 333 to 562 of the family's 1533-position model. The record is from RNAcentral.